RNAcentral lists this long non-coding RNA (442 nucleotides) under Homo sapiens (human). RNAcentral's name for it is "non-protein coding lnc-MAPKAP1-3:1". The record is from RNAcentral. Lineage: Eukaryota; Metazoa; Chordata; Mammalia; Primates; Hominidae.
GGUGGCAUCACCCCUGCCAUCAAGGGGCUGCACCCCACUGAGUACUUGCCGCCCUUGGCCAAAUGCCUCAGUCAGACGCAGAUACCAACCAGCAGGGACUGGCAAGAACUGUGACAGCUGCAGGGCUGGGUGCUGCUGCUCUUGCCUUUGCAGGUCGCUGUGCGUCGCAGUCCUGGAAACCUCUAGAACAAGGAUCACAGAAGCAGUAGAGAACCUUUGAACUCCUAGCCUGUCAUCCUAUUACAAAGGAGGAUUUGAACAGAAAAUGAGUAGGAGAAAAGCUAGUGUUAUUUUAGGUGUAAGUUCACCUGCUGGCAAGGCUAAGAUUAGAGCAGCUCACAGGAGAAUCGUGAUUUUGAAUCACCCAGAUAAAGGUGGAUCUCCCUACUUAGCAACCAAAAUAAAUGAAACAGAAGAUUUGCGAGAAGCGACCACCGAUCAC